RNAcentral lists this long non-coding RNA (340 nucleotides) under Nicotiana benthamiana. RNAcentral's name for it is "long non-coding RNA (NBEN_LNC031299)". The record is from RNAcentral. Lineage: Eukaryota; Viridiplantae; Streptophyta; Magnoliopsida; Solanales; Solanaceae.
AAAAUACUUUAAACAUCUAGUAGAAAAAAAUACAUCAUAGAUCUAAAAAACAAACAGAGAAAAACCUCGAACCAAAACCCUAGAAAUGAGAAAGGCUUGGAAGAAAGUGACAUCCUGACUCGGAUGAGUGAGAAUCAGGCUCCUGAGGCUUGAAUACGCCGAAGCAAAGGCCGGAGAGGCCAUAGAACCAAAGAUUUAAAAGAUAACCGUCAAAUUCAGACUUCAAAAACUCGAACACCCAAUGUCUAAUGGUGUAGGGGGUGUGCAUAGACCAUCCAUGGCCUGAGAAGCCAUGGAUUCUGGUGAAAGUACGGUGGAAAAUGUAGGAGGUUGGCUAGGG